Molecule: ribosomal RNA, 521 nt
Filed under: uncultured bacterium
Lineage: Bacteria
Description: bacterial SSU rRNA
Rfam family: Bacterial small subunit ribosomal RNA (bases 62-521)
Source: RNAcentral
ACAACAUUUUUGUUGAACCAGUAAAUUCCGUAAAGUAAACUACACUCGUCAAGAGUGAUUUUUUGCGGAGAGUUUGAUCCUGGCUCAGGAUGAACGCUGGCGGCGUGCCUAAUACAUGCAAGUCGAACGAGGUGCUUUUGUAGCAAUACGAAAGUAUCCUAGUGGCGAACGGGUGAGUAACGCGUUGGUGACCUACCCCAAAGUGUGGGAUAACAGUUCGAAAGAACUGCUAAUACCGCAUGUGGUUAUCGGAUUUAGAAACUGAUAACUAAAGGAGCAAUUCGCUUUGGGAGGGACCUGCGUCCCAUCAGCUAGUUGGUGAGGUAAUGGCUCACCAAGGCUACGACGGGUAGGGGACCUGAGAGGGUGACCCCCCCACAAUGGAACUGAAACACGGUCCAUACACCUACGGGUGGCAGCAGUAGGGAAUAUUGCACAAUGGCGAAAGCCUGAUGCAGCAACGCCGCGUGUGCGAUGAAGGCCCUCGGGUCGUAAAGCACUUUUCUGGAGAGAUGAGCCAA